RNAcentral lists this ribosomal RNA (432 nucleotides) under Amphistomus trispiculatus. RNAcentral describes it as "partial 16S ribosomal RNA". The record is from RNAcentral. Lineage: Eukaryota; Metazoa; Arthropoda; Insecta; Coleoptera; Scarabaeidae.
UUUAAAUGGCCGCGGUUUUUUGACCGUGCAAAGGUAGCAUAAUAAUUAGUUUCUUAAUUGGGAGCUGGUAUGAAUGGUUUAACGAGAAAAAAACUGUCUCAAUUUAAUUUAAAUUAAAAUUUUAUUUUUAAGUAAAAAAGCUUAAAUAAUUUUAAAAGACGAGAAGACCCUAUAGAGUUUUAUAUAAAUUUUUAUAUUUAAAUAUUAAAGUAUAUUAAAUUUAUUUAUGAAUAUUCUAUAUUUAGUUGGGGUGAUUUAAAAAUUAAUUAAACUUUUUAUAUAUUUUUACAUUUAUUUAUGAAUAGGUGAUCCAUAUUUUUGAUUAUAAGAUUAAAUUACCUUAGGGAUAACAGCGUAAUUUUUUUUGAGAGUUCUUAUCGAAAAAAAAGUUUGCGACCUCGAUGUUGGAUUAAAAUUAACUUUUGGUGUAGC